AAUCCCUCUAGUCGAUGAAAAAUGAUAGGAAGGAAGAGAAGUAAAUAUCUUGCUGGCACUGGACUCUGUUUUCGAAGGAGGGGAGCUUCUAAAGCGUACAAGAAAAGGAGAUCUUCACUAGAAGCAAGUAUCUUUCAAUAUGAAUUCAAAUUUACAGGUUAUAGCAAAAAUGAAGAGCAAGCACAUGGCAGGAACAUUCACCAAAAAGAAGAAAUGUAUAGUCACCGGAGUCUGCAGUGAUGUCCAAGCUUGGCCGGGAAGAGAGAAGGAA
This is a non-coding RNA of Arachis ipaensis, 271 nucleotides long. The record is from RefSeq and is a predicted model, not a curated record. Lineage: Eukaryota; Viridiplantae; Streptophyta; Magnoliopsida; Fabales; Fabaceae.